GCAUUUUUCAUUCUGACUUGUUUUGUUUUCUUUUCCUGUAGCAUACUGGAGCAAAAUGAAAGAAUUUGUUCUGAGGCCUCAAAAGUAGUGCUGCUACGGACCAUGAGCAAGAAAGGGUGGACUUCAGCCUGCACGGAUGGUCUUGAAACACAAAUAGUUGUGGGUCUAGGCAUUUUACAUUGAGUUUCUCUACUGCCACCCCUUCUACUCAAGCAAAAUCUGUGUGGAAAGAUCCGCUGGGAAGGAACUGACUGCUUAUGUUUCUCCAUUGUGAUGAAAGCACAUGGUACAGUUUUCCAAAGAAAUUAGUCCUUCUUCUGGGUGAAAAGAAACCAGUCUGCUGUUUUCAUAGGGUAUUUCUCACUCCUCUGGAAGGAAGAAAGAACACGCCUGAGCCUAGGAGCGCUCCAGCUUCUUGUGGGAAGUCUCCAUGGUGAAGGCUGAGCCAGGGCUACCUGCGAACGGCGCGCAGUGAAUGUCAUUCCAGAGCUGCCGCCGGCGGAUAGCACCCACGGGGAGAUGAUUCCUCAUGAAGAGCCUGGCUCCCCUACAGAAAUCAAAUGUGACUUUCCAUGUAUCAGACUGAAACCAGAGCCAGCCAGACAGUGAAACAGUCACCG
This 620-nucleotide long non-coding RNA is filed under the name Canis lupus dingo (dingo). Its description in RNAcentral is "lncRNA (ENSCAFG00020012645.1)". Lineage: Eukaryota; Metazoa; Chordata; Mammalia; Carnivora; Canidae. The record is from RNAcentral.